UAGCUCAGUCGGUAGAUCAUGGUGUUUGCAACGCCAGGGUUGUGGGUUCGAUUCCCAC
RNAcentral lists this transfer RNA (58 nucleotides) under Salmo salar (Atlantic salmon). It matches the Rfam family "tRNA", at positions 8 to 63 of the family's 71-position model. From Rfam's summary of the family: Transfer RNA (tRNA) molecules are approximately 80 nucleotides in length. Lineage: Eukaryota; Metazoa; Chordata; Actinopteri; Salmoniformes; Salmonidae. The record is from Rfam by way of RNAcentral.